UUUUGCGACGUGUCAACCGUAUUUGUAUUGUUUAUUCUUCUUUCCUUAGCAUCCUUACAAAGAAUCGCGUCAGCAUUGCCCAGGAGCCUGUCGAGAAUCAUUCCACGUACCUCGUGGACGCCAUGCCUGAUGUACUAUGCAAACCUAUCCAGGAACCGCCGGCCGGAAUGAAGGCAAUAUUCGGUGGAUUGCUAAUCGUGAUUGCUGGAUUCCAGGGAACCGUCGACGGUGAUCCUAAAGCACCACCUGGAUAAUUGGAAGUUAAUGGAGAUGGCUCUUGGAAGCCUCCGCCAGGAAGAUAUGUGGCAGUGCUGGAAAGAGCAAGCAUAGCUUCCAUGACGACGUGGAGCAGUUCUUCAGAGACCUCGCUCUACAGGUUGCUGCGAAGCGAAGGAUGUUCACUUGUACCUCCAGGGGCCAUGCCACUAGCCCCUGGAGGUGCUGCAACUUAUACCUUGCAACAAGCCUUCAUCAGUGUCCACCGGCGCUUGGACGCCUUGUUGGUGCCAAAU
Dermacentor andersoni is the source of this 512-nucleotide long non-coding RNA. RefSeq lists it as uncharacterized. Lineage: Eukaryota; Metazoa; Arthropoda; Arachnida; Ixodida; Ixodidae. The record is from RefSeq and is a predicted model, not a curated record.